Triticum aestivum (bread wheat) is the source of this 135-nucleotide non-coding RNA. NCBI's taxonomy places the organism in Eukaryota, Viridiplantae, Streptophyta, Magnoliopsida, Poales, Poaceae. The record is from Rfam.
CUAUUACUCCCUCCGUUCUAAAUUACUUGACUUUCAUUUAUCUAGAUACGAAUGUAUCUAUACUUGUUUAGUGUCUAAAUACAUUCGUGUAUAGAAAAAUGGAGGUCAAUUAAUUUGGAACGGAGGGAGUAUAUC